Molecule: ribosomal RNA, 253 nt
Filed under: uncultured bacterium
Lineage: Bacteria
Description: partial 16S ribosomal RNA
Rfam family: Bacterial small subunit ribosomal RNA
Source: RNAcentral
CGGAGGGUGCAAGCGUUAUCCGGACUUAUUGGGUUUAAAGGGUCCGUAGGCGGGUUAUUAAGUCAGUGGUGAAAUCUCAUAGCUCAACUAUGAAACUGCCAUUGAUACUGAUAGUCUUGAGUAUAUUUGAAGUAGCUGGAAUAAGUAGUGUAGCGGUGAAAUGCAUAGAUAUUACUUAGAACACCAAUAGCGAAGGCAGGUUACUAAGAUAUUACUGACGCUGAGGACGAGAGCGUAGGGAGCGAACAGGAUU